Molecule: non-coding RNA, 784 nt
Filed under: Pan troglodytes (chimpanzee)
Lineage: Eukaryota; Metazoa; Chordata; Mammalia; Primates; Hominidae
Source: RNAcentral
CCGGUGGUGCGGCUUUAGAUGGAGCUGGUACUAAGACCCAGGACUUCUGGGGCUUGAAGACCCUGGGUCUGCGGGAAGCCCCUGCUGAGCGUCCCUCGCCUACCCCGUGGCCAGUGGCUUUUCAGUGCAGAAACUACCUUAUCUAUGUGACAAAGCUCAGGCCAUCAGUGGCAAGGUAGAUUGGCAUCACGUACCCUUGAUACAACAACCUGAGAAGGACAUCACUUCUGCGAUAUUCCUGCCAAAAAUGCAUCUCCGCAUUCCGAUCGUGAGAACAUCCUGGGCACACCCAAACUGAGAGACACCAUACAAAGUGACUGGUCAGUGCACUCAAAGGCAAAAAGCUCAUGGAAGGCAAGAGAAGACGGGAGAAGUGACAGCUAAAAGCAGCGUGGAAUCCUGGAAGGGACAAAGAACACGAGCAGAGAAACUGUAGAAGCUGAGUGAGGGCAGCGGUCCAGCUCGCGCUGUUUUGCCGGGCCUCAGGUUUUCCUUAGGAUUCCGUGUGUGCUCCCCGCCUGGCCCCUCCACAGUGACUCUGCUGUCAGUGGCUGCCCCAGGGUGGAGAGUGACCUACCUCUGGCUUCUCCUGUCCCGGCCUCUCCUGUGCCAGCCGGUCAGGCACACUGUAAGAUCCCCACAGCGGGGUGCCCACACCCUCACCCGGACCCUACACCAUCACCAUCACACCUUCUCGUGUGUCAUAAACCCCACAACACAUUGUUAUGAUUUUUGCUUUAAAUCAAUUAUCUUUUAAAGGGAUUAAAAUAAUGUGAGCUGUGAA